AUUGAACGCUGGCGGCAGGCCUAACACAUGCAAGUCGAGCGAGCGGCGGACGGGUGAGUAAUGUAUGGGGAUCUGCACGAUAGAGGGGGAUAACUACUGGAAACGGUGUCUAAUACCGCAUACUCUCGGAUGAACCCAUAGGGGAUGAACUAGUAGGGGGGGUAAAGGAUCACCUAGGCGACGAUCUCUCGCUGGUCUGAGAGGAUGCUCAGACAAACUGGGACUGAGACACGGCCCAGACUCCUACGGGAGGAAGCAGUGGGGAAUAUUGCACAAUGGGCGCAAGCCUGAUGCAGCCAUGCCGCGUGUGGGAUGAAGGCUUUCGGGUUGUAAACCUCUUUCGCUAUCGAACGGGUAGGUGGAGAAGAAGCGCCGGCUAACUACGUGCCAGCAGCCGCGGUAAUAC
This 406-nucleotide ribosomal RNA is filed under the name uncultured bacterium. RNAcentral describes it as "partial 16S ribosomal RNA". It matches the Rfam family "Bacterial small subunit ribosomal RNA", at positions 30 to 526 of the family's 1533-position model. The record is from RNAcentral.